GAUGAACGCUGGCGGCGUGCCUAAUACAUGCAAGUCGAGCGAACAGACGAGGAGCUUGCUCCUCUGACGUUAGCGGCGGACGGGUGAGUAACACGUGGAUAACCUACCUAUAAGACUGGGAUAACUUCGGGAAACCGGAGCUAAUACCGGAUAAUAUAUUGAACCGUAUGGUUCAAUAGUGAAAGACGGUUUUGCUGUCACUUAUAGAUGGAUCCGCGCCGCAUUAGCUAGUUGGUAAGGUAACGGCUUACCAAGGCGACGAUGCGUAGCCGACCUGAGAGAGUGAUCGGCCACACUAGAACUGGGACACGGUCCAUACUCCUACGGGAGGCAGCAGUAGGGAAUCUUCCGCAAUGGGCGAAAGCCUGACGGAGCAACGCCGCGUGAGUGAUGAAGGUCUUCGGAUCGUAAAACUCUGUUAUUAGGGAAGAACAAAUGUGUAAGUAACUAUGCACGUCUUGACGGUACCUAAUCAGAAAGCCACGGCUAACUACGUG
RNAcentral lists this ribosomal RNA (497 nucleotides) under uncultured bacterium. RNAcentral's name for it is "partial 16S ribosomal RNA". It matches the Rfam family "Bacterial small subunit ribosomal RNA", at positions 28 to 507 of the family's 1533-position model. The record is from RNAcentral.